This 469-nucleotide long non-coding RNA is filed under the name Polistes fuscatus (common paper wasp). RNAcentral describes it as "uncharacterized LOC122516581". The record is from RNAcentral. Lineage: Eukaryota; Metazoa; Arthropoda; Insecta; Hymenoptera; Vespidae.
UCUAUCUAUAUACUUAUUCAUCUAUUUAUAUAUCUCCUCUUUCAAUACCUAUAAUAUCGAAAGAAAACGAAUUGGAUAUUAUCUUCGUUCUCUUUUUAUGUAGCUUACAUCACUAAAACUCUUUCUUUUUAUGCCUUUUAGAGAAGCAAGAUAGAGAAAGAGAUAUAGCAAGAUAAAGAGAUAGCGAGCGAGGAAGAGCAAAAGAGAGAGAAAAAGAAAGAAAGAAAGAAAGAGAGAAUAAGAGAUAGAGAUAUUUGACAAAUCUCAUCCUAUUAAGCAGGUGUUUUCUCUUACUACUCGUCUCUAUCUCCUUACUAACGAUAUAUUAUGGAUGUAUCUUCUUUUCUCAUGUUAUUUUUACCUCACCACGAAAAUAUCGCGUAAGUACAAACGAUAAUAUUUGUCGCAACAUAUGUGAUAUUUAUACAUUUUCUAUUGACAAAUAUAUAAAAGUAAUUCUUUUUUGAUA